This 333-nucleotide long non-coding RNA is filed under the name Homo sapiens (human). RNAcentral describes it as "HSALNT0322826". The record is from RNAcentral. Lineage: Eukaryota; Metazoa; Chordata; Mammalia; Primates; Hominidae.
UUUACCUUUUGGAACUCCCAGCCUUCCUGUGAGAAGUUCCACUGCCUGAGGCUGGCAUUUUGUGAGAAAGCCCAAGACAGACAGAGAGACCCUUUGAAGGGUCUUGCUGUGUUGACCAAGUUGGAGUGCAGUGGCAUGAUCUCAGCUCAUUGCAACCUCUGCCUCCUGAGUUCAAGCAUUCUCCUCUCUCAGCCUCCCAAGUAGCUGGGACUACAGGCAUGUACCACCACACCUGGGUAAUUUUUGUAAUUUUUUAGUAGAAAUGGGGUUUCACCAUGUUGACCAGGCUGGCCUUGAACUCUUGACCUCAAGUGAUCCACCCACUUCGGCCUC